UACAGAGGUCCCGAGCGUUGUUCGGAUUCACUGGGCGUAAAGGGUGCGUAGGUGGUGAGGCAAGUCGGAUGUGAAAUACUGGAGCUUAACUCCGGAACUGCAUUGGAAACUGCCUUGCUUGAGGUUUGGAGGGGGGACUGGAAUUCUCGGUGUAGCAGUGAAAUGCGUAGAUAUCGAGAGGAACACCAGUGGCGAAGGCGAGUCCCUGGACAACACCUGACACUGAGGCACGAAAGCUAGGGGAGCAAACAGG
This 253-nucleotide ribosomal RNA is filed under the name uncultured bacterium. RNAcentral describes it as "partial 16S ribosomal RNA". It matches the Rfam family "Bacterial small subunit ribosomal RNA", at positions 524 to 776 of the family's 1533-position model. The record is from RNAcentral.